CUAUUUCUAGAGAUAGAAAGUUACUUCGGUACAUCGGUGACAGGUGGUGCAUGGUUGUCGUCAGCUCGUGUCGUGAGAUGUUGGGUUAAGUCCCGCAACGAGCGCAACCCCUAUUGUUAGUUUGCCAUCAUUCAGUUGGGCACUCUAGCGAGACUGCCGGUAAUAAACCGGAGGAAGUGGGGAUGACGUCAAAUCAUCAUGCCCCUUAUGACCUGGGCUACACACGUGCUACAAUGGUUGGUACAACGAGUUGCGAGUCGGUGACGGCGAGCUAAUCUCUUAAAGCCAAUCUCAGUUCGGAUUGUAGGCUGCAACUCGCCUACAUGAAGUCGGAAUCGCUAGUAAUCGCGGAUCAGCACGCCGCGGUGAAUACGUUCCCGGGCCUU
This 386-nucleotide ribosomal RNA is filed under the name uncultured Streptococcus sp. Its description in RNAcentral is "bacterial SSU rRNA". It matches the Rfam family "Bacterial small subunit ribosomal RNA", at positions 994 to 1382 of the family's 1533-position model. The record is from RNAcentral. Lineage: Bacteria; Bacillati; Bacillota; Bacilli; Lactobacillales; Streptococcaceae.